UUAUAUUACAUAUAAUUUGAGUUCGUGCCAUCGGCUCCCAUCUGCCUGACCGAUCCACUUUCUCUCUUGAGCGGAAACGAAAACCUCGGAUUUCUCUUCGCACGCAGCCCUUUUCUUCACCUUGUCUCCUCCUUCAUCUAUACACAAGGUAAUAAGCCUCCGACGAGAACGUCGAGAUCUUCCCCCGUCACUGUUCAAGCGCGGACUCCGUAACACAUCGAGGUAAAUUUUUUGUUUGUUCCGACUUAAACUAAUGCUUUUUUGCUACAAUUUCCGGUUUGAUUUCUUAUACAUUCUCCAAGCUUUACUGGUUACAGCUUUUAUUUUUGCUUUCUGCUUGCUUUCGUUGUCCUCUGCUGCUCUUUACUUGGUUAGAUGAUUCGUGGAGUCUGGUAAAAUUCGGAUGUUUCUAACAUGUUUGUUUUCUUGUUUCCUGUCACUCGUUGUUUGUUAAUUUUGGAUUUUAUAUGAAAAUUUCUAGAUAUUUAGGUUGUGUAAUCCAUCUCGUGUGGGGAUCAUCUCUUGUCUGAUAUUCGUUACUCCUAAUUGUCUUUACAUUUGUUUUCAUAAUAUUUUGGUGUUGUAGGCUGGUUUCCACAUUUUCUUUUUACGAGUCUAGUAAUUUCUUGUUUUGCUUUCCCAGAGGUUCACUCAAUUUAUGUUCUGGAACUUUUAUGCAAGUUCAUUGAUAGUCAAUAGGUAUGUGUGUUAGGUUUGGUUUGGUAAUUAUUUCCUUUUUAUGAAUCUAGUAUUUCUUGUUUAGCUUUCCCAGAGUUUUAUUCAAUGUAUGCUUUGGAGCUUCUAUUCAAGUUCAUUGAUAAUCAGUAAGUAUGUGUUAGGUUUGGUUUGAUAAUUAUUACUACUCUUUUCAUGGUCGUUCAUCCUUUGUUAGCUUGAACCUUGAAUAUUUUUUGUGUGUCUUGAUGGAAGAGUCUUGAUAUUGCAGCUUUGGUUAAAAUCACUAAAACCAUAAUAAUAGACUCCAAAAUUAUGAUAAUGGAUUCCUAAAUAAUAUAACCGUUCUUUAAUUUAAAAGGAUUACAACUUCAAUUUACUCAAGUUAACCUAUUUUGCAUCAGUAUAGAUUGAAUUUCUAACCUAUUUAGUUUUCUAUUUGCUGUGAGUCCAGUCUCCACUAAUAAAUUCCAAAUGAUGCUAAGGGAAGACAGAACACUGCUUCUUUGAAUUCAAUUCAUUCUGAUCCGGUUUGCAGGAGUGUGGGUCAGGUGGGGUUUGGAAGAGUCCUUUUAACACUUCAACUGAGCAGGAUUGGCAAAUAAUGCAGACACCAAAAGCGAGGUAACAUUGCAUUCAUUAUGUGCUUUUCU
Molecule: long non-coding RNA, 1328 nt
Filed under: Carica papaya (papaya)
Lineage: Eukaryota; Viridiplantae; Streptophyta; Magnoliopsida; Brassicales; Caricaceae
Description: long non-coding RNA (CPAP_LNC015810)
Source: RNAcentral